UUAUAUUUAUAUAUAAUUUAAAUUAUAAAAAAAUUAUAUUUUAAUUAUUUAAGUUUUAAUUUUAAAUAAAAUAAAAAUUGAUUUUAGUAAAUUUAUAAGAAAAAUUUAAAUUUAAAUAUAAUUAAAUUGAAAAAUAUUUUUAUUUAUUUUUUUUUAAAAAAAAAUAAUUUUUUGUACCUUUUGUAUUAGUGUUGUUUAAAAAUAUUUAUAAAUUAAUUAAUUUUUUCAAAAUAAAAAGAUUUAAAAUUUAAUUAUUAUUAUUAUUUUAUAAAUAUAUUUUAUUAAAUUUUAGAAAUAAAAUGUUUUUCGAUUUUUAUGAUAUUUAGUUUUUUUAGAAAAAAAUUUAAUUUUAUUUUAAUUAUUUAUUUUAUAUAUUUUUUAUUUAAUUUAAUUAUAAUUAAUUAUUAAUAAUUUGGGGAUUAGCUUAAAUUAUUAUUUUAAAAAUUUAUUUAUUUUUAUUAAAUUAAUUAAUUUUUUUAAUUAUUAAGUUUAAUAAUUUAUAAUUAAAUUAAUUUAUAGUAUUUAUAAUUAAGUUUUAUAUUUUAUAAAAAUUAUUAUUAAAAUUAAUUUAAUAAUCAAAUUAUGAAUAAAUUAGUAAAAUUUAAUAAAUAAAAAUUAAGAAUUAGGCAAUUAAUAUUAUUCAAUUGUUUAUCAAAAACAUAGUUUUUUAAUUUAAUAAAAGAUAUUAUCUGCCCAUUGAAUAAAAUUUUUAAAGGCCGCAAUAAUUUAAUUGUGCUAAGGUAGCAUAAUCAUUAGAUUUUUAAUUUGAAUCUGGAAUGAAUGGUAAAAUGAAAUAAUUACUUUUUUAUUUUUAAAAUUUGAAUUUUAUAUUUAAGUUAAAAAGCUUAAUUUUAUAAAUUAGACGAGAAGACCCUAUAGAAUUUAAUUAAUAAAUAAAAUUAAAUUUUAUUUAUUUAAUUUAAUUGGGGAGAUUUUAAAAUUUAAUAAACUUUUAUAAUUUAAAUCAUUAAUUUUUGUUUAAUUGAUCUUUUAUUAAUAAAAGAAAGAUUAAAUUACCUUAGGGAUAACAGCAUAAUUAUAAAAAAAAGUUCUUAUUUUUUUUAUUGUUUAUGACCUCGAUGUUGGAUUAAAUUAAUUUUAAUUGAAGAAAAUUAAAAAUUUAGUCUGUUCGACU
RNAcentral lists this ribosomal RNA (1135 nucleotides) under Asphondylia rosetta. Its description in RNAcentral is "16S ribosomal RNA". Lineage: Eukaryota; Metazoa; Arthropoda; Insecta; Diptera; Cecidomyiidae. The record is from RNAcentral.